This 450-nucleotide ribosomal RNA is filed under the name uncultured bacterium. RNAcentral describes it as "bacterial SSU rRNA". It matches the Rfam family "Bacterial small subunit ribosomal RNA", at positions 354 to 796 of the family's 1533-position model. The record is from RNAcentral.
GUGGGGAAUUUUGGACAAUGGGCGCAAGCCUGAUCCAGCCAUGCCGCGUGCAGGAUGAAGGCCUUCGGGUUGUAAACUGCUUUUGUACGGAACGAAACGGCUCUUUCUAAUAAAGAGGGCUAAUGACGGUACCGUAAGAAUAAGCACCGGCUAACUACGUGCCAGCAGCCGCGGUAAUACGUAGGGUGCGAGCGUUAAUCGGAAUUACUGGGCGUAAAGCGUGCGCAGGCGGUGAUGUAAGACAGAUGUGAAAUCCCCGGGCUCAACAUGGGAACUUCAUUUGUGACUGCAAGGCUGGAGUGCGGCAGAGCGGGAUGGAAGUCCGCGUGUAGCAGUGAAAUGCGUAGAUAUGCGGAGGAACACCGAUGGCGAAGGCAAUCCCCUGGGCCUGCACUGACGCUCAUGCACGAAAGCGUGGGGAGCAAACAGGAUUAGAAACCCUUGUAGUCC